Molecule: ribosomal RNA, 120 nt
Filed under: Pteropus alecto (black flying fox)
Lineage: Eukaryota; Metazoa; Chordata; Mammalia; Chiroptera; Pteropodidae
Source: RNAcentral
GUCUACAGCCAUGCCACCCUGAACAAGCCCGAUCCCAUCUGAUCUUGGAAGCUAAGCAGGGUCUGGCCUGGUUAGUACUUUGAUGGGAGACCACCGAGGAAGACCAGGUGCUUGUAGGCG